AGAGUUUGAUCAUGGCUCAGAAUCAACGCUGGCGGCGCGCCUAACACAUGCAAGUCGAACGAGAAAGUGGAGCAAUCCAUGAGUACAGUGGCGUACGGGUGAGUAACGCGUGGGAACGUACCUUUUGGUUCGGAACAACACAGGGAAACUUGUGCUAAUACCGAAUAAGCCCUUACGGGGAAAGAUUUAUCGCCGAAAGAUCGGCCCGCGUCUGAUUAGCUAGUUGGUGGGGUAACGGCCCACCAAGGCGACGAUCAGUAGCUGGUCUGAGAGGAUGAUCAGCCACAUUGGGACUGAGACACGGCCCAAACUCCUACGGGAGGCAGCAGUGGGGAAUAUUGGACAAUGGGCGCAAGCCUGAUCCAGCCAUGCCGCGUGAGUGAUGAAGGCCCUAGGGUUGUAAAGCUCUUUUGUGCGGGAAGAUAAUGACGGUACCGCAAGAAUAAGCCCCGGCUAACUUCGUGCCAGCAGCCGCGGUAAUACGAAGGGGGCUAGCGUUGCUCGGAAUCACUGGGCGUAAAGGGUGCGUAGGCGGGUCUUUAAGUCAGGGGUGAAAUCCUGGAGCUCAACUCCAGAACUGCCUUUGAUACUGAGGAUCUUGAGUUCGGGAGAGGUGAGUGGAACUGCGAGUGUAGAGGUGAAAUUCGUAGAUAUUCGCAAGAACACCAGUGGCGAAGGCGGCUCACUGGCCCGAUACUGACGCUGAGGCACGAAAGCGUGGGGAGCAAACAGGAUUAGAUACCCUAGUAGUCC
This 753-nucleotide ribosomal RNA is filed under the name uncultured bacterium. Its description in RNAcentral is "bacterial SSU rRNA". It matches the Rfam family "Bacterial small subunit ribosomal RNA", at positions 8 to 796 of the family's 1533-position model. The record is from RNAcentral.